RNAcentral lists this ribosomal RNA (105 nucleotides) under Triticum aestivum (bread wheat). RNAcentral's name for it is "partial small subunit ribosomal RNA". The record is from RNAcentral. Lineage: Eukaryota; Viridiplantae; Streptophyta; Magnoliopsida; Poales; Poaceae.
AUGCCCAUUCGUGUUCCAAAAGUACCUUAUCGGAUUCCCAGAGAUGAAGAAGCGACUUGGGUUGACUUAUACAAUGUUAUGUAUUGAUAAAGGACACUUUUUUAG